Molecule: ribosomal RNA, 1268 nt
Filed under: Pseudarthrobacter siccitolerans
Lineage: Bacteria; Bacillati; Actinomycetota; Actinomycetes; Micrococcales; Micrococcaceae
Description: bacterial SSU rRNA
Rfam family: Bacterial small subunit ribosomal RNA
Source: RNAcentral
ACCCGGGUGCUUGCACCGGGGGAUUAGUGGCGAACGGGUGAGUAACACGUGAGUAACCUGCCCUUGACUCUGGGAUAAGCCUGGGAAACUGGGUCUAAUACCGGAUAUGACCUUCCAUCGCAUGGUGGUUGGUGGAAAGCUUUUGUGGUUUUGGAUGGACUCGCGGCCUAUCAGCUUGUUGGUGAGGUAAUGGCUCACCAAGGCGACGACGGGUAGCCGGCCUGAGAGGGUGACCGGCCACACUGGGACUGAGACACGGCCCAGACUCCUACGGGAGGCAGCAGUGGGGAAUAUUGCACAAUGGGCGCAAGCCUGAUGCAGCGACGCCGCGUGAGGGAUGACGGCCUUCGGGUUGUAAACCUCUUUCAGUAGGGAAGAAGCGAAAGUGACGGUACCUGCAGAAGAAGCGCCGGCUAACUACGUGCCAGCAGCCGCGGUAAUACGUAGGGCGCAAGCGUUAUCCGGAAUUAUUGGGCGUAAAGAGCUCGUAGGCGGUUUGUCGCGUCUGCCGUGAAAGUCCGGGGCUCAACUCCGGAUCUGCGGUGGGUACGGGCAGACUAGAGUGAUGUAGGGGAGACUGGAAUUCCUGGUGUAGCGGUGAAAUGCGCAGAUAUCAGGAGGAACACCGAUGGCGAAGGCAGGUCUCUGGGCAUUAACUGACGCUGAGGAGCGAAAGCAUGGGGAGCGAACAGGAUUAGAUACCCUGGUAGUCCAUGCCGUAAACGUUGGGCACUAGGUGUGGGGGACAUUCCACGUUUUCCGCGCCGUAGCUAACGCAUUAAGUGCCCCGCCUGGGGAGUACGGCCGCAAGGCUAAAACUCAAAGGAAUUGACGGGGGCCCGCACAAGCGGCGGAGCAUGCGGAUUAAUUCGAUGCAACGCGAAGAACCUUACCAAGGCUUGACAUGAACCGGAAAGACCUGGAAACAGGUGCCCCGCUUGCGGUCGGUUUACAGGUGGUGCAUGGUUGUCGUCAGCUCGUGUCGUGAGAUGUUGGGUUAAGUCCCGCAACGAGCGCAACCCUCGUUCUAUGUUGCCAGCACGUGAUGGUGGGGACUCAUAGGAGACUGCCGGGGUCAACUCGGAGGAAGGUGGGGACGACGUCAAAUCAUCAUGCCCCUUAUGUCUUGGGCUUCACGCAUGCUACAAUGGCCGGUACAAAGGGUUGCGAUACUGUGAGGUGGAGCUAAUCCCAAAAAGCCGGUCUCAGUUCGGAUUGGGGUCUGCAACUCGACCCCCAUGAAGUCGGAGUCGCCUAGUAAUCGCAGA